RNAcentral lists this ribosomal RNA (558 nucleotides) under Lodderomyces parapsilosis. Its description in RNAcentral is "Candida parapsilosis partial large subunit ribosomal RNA". It matches the Rfam family "Eukaryotic large subunit ribosomal RNA", at positions 42 to 605 of the family's 3401-position model. The record is from RNAcentral. Lineage: Eukaryota; Fungi; Ascomycota; Pichiomycetes; Serinales; Debaryomycetaceae.
AUCAAUAAGCGGAGGAAAAGAAACCAACAGGGAUUGCCUUAGUAGCGGCGAGUGAAGCGGCAAAAGCUCAAAUUUGAAAUCUGGCACUUUCAGUGUCCGAGUUGUAAUUUGAAGAAGGUAUCUUUGGGUCUGGCUCUUGUCUAUGUUUCUUGGAACAGAACGUCACAGAGGGUGAGAAUCCCGUGCGAUGAGAUGUCCCAGACCUAUGUAAAGUUCCUUCGAAGAGUCGAGUUGUUUGGGAAUGCAGCUCUAAGUGGGUGGUAAAUUCCAUCUAAAGCUAAAUAUUGGCGAGAGACCGAUAGCGAACAAGUACAGUGAUGGAAAGAUGAAAAGAACUUUGAAAAGAGAGUGAAAAAGUACGUGAAAUUGUUGAAAGGGAAGGGCUUGAGAUCAGACUUGGUAUUUUGUAUGUUACUCUCUCGGGGGUGGCCUCUACAGUUUACCGGGCCAGCAUCAGUUUGAGCGGUAGGAUAAGUGCAAAGAAAUGUGGCACUGCUUCGGUAGUGUGUUAUAGUCUUUGUCGAUACUGCCAGCUUAGACUGAGGACUGCGGCUUCGG